GGGCUCACACAAGCGGUGGAGGAUGUGGCUUAAUUCGAGGCUACGCGAAGAACCUUAUCCUGGACUUGACAUGCACGGAUGGGCCGCCUGAAAGGGAUGGUUCCUGCCUUCGGGUGAAACGUGCACAGGUGCUGCAUGGCUGUCGUCAGCUCGUGUCGUGAGAUGUCGGGUUAAGUCCCUUAACGAGCGAAACCCUUGUCACUAGUUGCCAGCGAGUCAUGUCGGGGACUCUAGUGAGACUGCCGGUGUUAAACCGGAGGAAGGUGGGGAUGACGUCAAGUCCUCAUGGCCUUUAUGUCCAGGGCUGCACACGUCCUACAAUGGCGCAUACAAAGGGAAGCGAACCUGCGAGGGCAAGCAAAUCCCAAAAAGUGCGCCUCAGUUCGGAUUGCAGGCUGCAACUCGCCUGCAUGAAGCCGGAAUCGCUAGUAAUCGCGGGUCAGCAUACCGCGGUGAAUGUGUUCCUGAGCCUU
This 473-nucleotide ribosomal RNA is filed under the name uncultured bacterium. Its description in RNAcentral is "bacterial SSU rRNA". It matches the Rfam family "Bacterial small subunit ribosomal RNA", at positions 917 to 1382 of the family's 1533-position model. The record is from RNAcentral.